This 376-nucleotide ribosomal RNA is filed under the name uncultured eukaryote. RNAcentral's name for it is "partial 18S ribosomal RNA". It matches the Rfam family "Eukaryotic small subunit ribosomal RNA", at positions 592 to 976 of the family's 1831-position model. The record is from RNAcentral.
CAAGAGCGUAUAUUAAAGUUGCUGCGGUUAAAAAGCUCGUAGUUGGAUUUCAGUCUAGGAAGGUUAACUCGCCGAAAGGUUGUACGUUGAUUUUCCUCAGACUUCGUCAGAAGCUCGUGCUGUACUUAACUGUGUGGUACGAUGUUCUGACCUUUUACCUUGAGGAAAGUAGAGUGUUUCAGGCAGGCUACCCAGCUUGAAUACAUUAGCAUGGAAUAAUGAAAUGGAUCUCGGUUCGAUUUCGUUGGUUCUAGAGCUGGGGUGAUGAUCAAUAGGAACAGGCGAAGGUAUUCGUAUUUGAGAGUGAGGAGUGAAAUCCGAUGAUCUCUUAAAGACGAUCCGAGGCGAAAGCAUUUGUCAAGGAUGUUUUCAUUGA